Small nucleolar RNA from Beta vulgaris subsp. vulgaris (sugar beet), 107 nucleotides. It matches the Rfam family "Plant small nucleolar RNA R71". From Rfam's summary of the family: R71 is a member of the C/D box family of snoRNAs containing the C (UGAUGA) and D (CUGA) box motifs. Multiple nearly identical copies of this snoRNA have been identified in Arabidopsis, and it is thought to function as a 2'-O-ribose methylation guide for 18S ribosomal RNA. NCBI's taxonomy places the organism in Eukaryota, Viridiplantae, Streptophyta, Magnoliopsida, Caryophyllales, Amaranthaceae. The record is from Rfam.
ACACCAUGAUGAGGACAUUUACGUUGUAAAUCUUUAAACCUUUCCCAUGCUUCAUAUAAAGACUCCCCAUCAUAUUGAGCAAAACUAGUUAUAUUAUUUCGAAACUU